GGGGAUGUAGCUCAGAUGGUAGAGCGCUCGCUUAGCAUGGAGGUACGGGGAUCGAUACCCCGCAUCUCCG
Nicotiana attenuata is the source of this 70-nucleotide transfer RNA. It matches the Rfam family "tRNA". Rfam says of the family: Transfer RNA (tRNA) molecules are approximately 80 nucleotides in length. Their secondary structure includes four short double-helical elements and three loops (D, anti-codon, and T loops). NCBI's taxonomy places the organism in Eukaryota, Viridiplantae, Streptophyta, Magnoliopsida, Solanales, Solanaceae. The record is from Rfam.